Molecule: ribosomal RNA, 442 nt
Filed under: uncultured bacterium
Lineage: Bacteria
Description: partial 16S ribosomal RNA
Rfam family: Bacterial small subunit ribosomal RNA
Source: RNAcentral
CCUACGGGUGGCAGCAGUGGGGAAUAUUGCGCAAUGGGCGCAAGCCUGACCCAGCAACGCCGCGUGAACGAAGAAGGCUUUCGGGUUGUAAACUUCUUUUGUCAGGGAAGAGUAGAAGACGGUACCUGACGAAUAAGCCACGGCUAACUACGUGCCAGCCGGCGCGGUAAUACGUAGGUGGCAAGCGGUGUCCGGAUUUACUGGGUGUAAAGGGCGUGUAGCCGGGUUGACAAGUCAGAUGUGAAAUCCUGCGGCUGAACCGCAAAACUGCAUUUGAAACUGUUGAUCUUGAGUACUGGAGAGGCAGACGGAAUUCCUAGUGUAGCGGUGAAAUGCGUAGAUAUUAGGAGGAACACCAGUGGCGAAGGCGGUCUGCUGGACAGUAACUGACGGUGAGGCGCGAAAGCGUGGGGAGCAAACAGGAUUAGAUACCCCUGUAGUC